RNAcentral lists this ribosomal RNA (253 nucleotides) under uncultured bacterium. RNAcentral describes it as "partial 16S ribosomal RNA". It matches the Rfam family "Bacterial small subunit ribosomal RNA", at positions 524 to 776 of the family's 1533-position model. The record is from RNAcentral.
UACGUAGGGUGCGAGCGUUAAUCGGAAUUACUGGGCGUAAAGCGUGCGCAGGCGGUUUCUUAAGUCAGAUGUGAAAGCCCCGGGCUUAACCUGGGAACUGCGUUUGAAACUGGGAGACUUGAGUGUGGCAGAGGGGGGUGGAAUUCCACGUGUAGCAGUGAAAUGCGUAGAUAUGUGGAGGAACACCGAUGGCGAAGGCAGCCCCCUGGGCCAAUACUGACGCUCAUGCACGAAAGCGUGGGUAGCAAACAGG